AUGGUACUUACUGGUCUUAUACAUUUUAUUUUUAUUUGUGUAUUAAGUAGUUGUAUAAUCACUUUUCUUUCCAGUGAGAUGUUGCUAUGGCUGCUCUUUGUUGGAUUUCUUCAAGCAAGUGUUGCAUCUUCCUUUCGUGGCUUUUGGGACGGAUUUGAUGCAAGUAAUCUUCAGCAUGUUUCAGGCGACCAGUCUCAGCCUCACGUGGCGUUUUACCCUCCCAGGUCCAACUCUUGGCCUUGGCCCCAGGUCCAAGGCUCCCAACGCUCUCCCCAGGCGACCUCUGGGCAUUUCCAUCCGCAGGCGCCUUGCUUUCAGUCCAAACCCCAGCGGCCUAACUACUGGCCCUUCCCCGUUCCCCAGGAGCCCGUCCCCGUGUUCCAGUCCAGUGAGCCUGGUGACCUUCCCCAGGUUCCUGGCUACUCACCCAGCAACCAGCCCACGCCUGCUCCUCAACCCCAGCAGCCCGACCAACAGCCCCAAGCUGCUGGUGUUCAGGCUCUGCCACCCAACAACGCCCCCCCCCGCAGACUGCCCGAAAGCUGGUACCAGAAACGCCCCCAGUAUCUGGCAUCACGCUUCCCAUCGAAGCCUCUGCCUCCUCCCAGGCCCCAGGGGCCCAAUCCUCUGCCACAGCGGCCAAGCACAGUGCUUCAUCCCUGGUCCCAGCAGCAGCCUGGUAACUGGCCCCAGCCGGCCCCUACCACCCUGCCCCCCACCCUGCCCCCCACGCGGCCCUCAAACCCGGCCCAAGCUCUGCGUCCUCUGCCUCAGUCACACAGCAAACUGUUCCAUCCGUGGCACCAGCAAAGGCAUCAGUUACUCAAUAACCCGUUCAAGCCGCAGCCCCCUGCCCCCCAGCAACCAACCCCCCAGCCACCGUCUGCCCCAACCCCCCAGUCGACCCCUGCCACUCAGGAACCUGGCCCGUCCAACAACCUUCCUCAGGCCCAGCCACCAGAUAACCUGCCCCAUCCGUGGUACCAGUCUCCCAUUUACCUCCUAAAUCCUCAUCACUAUCCCUGGUUUCUUCCUCAUCCUGCCCCAUCUACCCCCCAGUCUUCACCUGCCCCUCCCAGCAACCCGCCCCAGGCACCUCUGCCACCCUCUACCACCCAGCAACCCGCCUCGUCCACCCAACUGCCCCAGGAAUCUGGGCCUGUAGCUCAGCUGCCAUCUGACACUCCGCAGCCUUCCCCACCCAGCAACUUGCUCCACGUUCCUGACCAGCCGCUUCCUCCAUGGUACCAGCAUCAGUCCCCCAGUCUGGUCCAGCCUCACUGGCCCCUGAUACCCGGCUACCUGCCUGAGCCGGUCAGCUACCAGCCCCAGUAUUGGCCUUAUGGUCCCAGCAACCUGCCCCCUGCCUGGUCCUGGUUUCCCAUGUACCCGCCCUGGACCAGUUUUACACAAAGCUGCAAACCUCCUCUGCUCUGCUAUGAGCUCAGCAGUGACAGUGCUUUUUAUCCAUACUUGCUUCCAGACAGGGAAACUGGCAGCGUUGAGCCGUGAUCAGGGACAUCAGGACUGUGCAAGACCUCAACUGAUCAGCUGGACUGACGUUGAAAAUAAAGUGUUUUCCCUCGAUGUGUAGUUUGAGUUU
Long non-coding RNA from Betta splendens (Siamese fighting fish), 1603 nucleotides. The record is from Ensembl. NCBI's taxonomy places the organism in Eukaryota, Metazoa, Chordata, Actinopteri, Anabantiformes, Osphronemidae.